RNAcentral lists this ribosomal RNA (228 nucleotides) under uncultured bacterium. Its description in RNAcentral is "partial 16S ribosomal RNA". It matches the Rfam family "Bacterial small subunit ribosomal RNA", at positions 102 to 334 of the family's 1533-position model. The record is from RNAcentral.
ACGGGUGAGUAAUACAUCGAACGUGUCUUCUAGUGGGGGAUAACUGCCCGAAAGGGCAGCUAAUACCGCAUGAGACCUGAGGGUGAAAGCGGGGGAUCGUAAGACCUCGCGCUGGAAGAGCGGCCGAUGUCCGAUUAGCUAGUUGGUGAGGUAAAGGCUCACCAAGGCGACGAUCGGUAGCUGGUCUGAGAGGACGACCAGCCACACUGGGACUGAGACACGGCCCAG